AGAUAGCCGCCUGAAAAGGCGAUUAAUACCCCAUAGGAGCCCCUGGCGAGUGCCGGGGGCUUUAAAGACAUACAGUCGCCCGGGGAUUGGAAUAUGUUCUAUUAGCUAGUUGGCGGGAUAAAAGCCCACCAAGGCGAUGAUAGAUAGCUGGUCUGAGAGGAUGAGCAGCCACAAUGGGAUUGAGAUACGGCCCAUAUUCCUACGGGAAGCAGCAGUAGGGAAUUUUCCACAAUGGGCGAAAGCCUGAUGGAGCAAUGCCAUGUGAACGAAGAAGGCCAGGAUGGUUGUAAAGUUCUUUUAGGGGGGAAGAAAAUGACGGUACCCCCUGAAUAAGUGACAGCAAACUAUGUGCCAGCAGCUGCGGUAAUACAUAGGUCGCGAGCGUUAUUCGGAUUUAUUGGGCGUAAAGCAAGCGCAGGCGGAUUGAUAAGUUCUGUGUUAAAAGCAGCUGCUCAACAGUUGUUUGCACCGAAUACUGUCAGUCUAGAAUAUGGUAGGGAGUUUCGGAAUUAAAUAUGGAGCGGUGGAAUGUGUAGAUAUAUUUAAGAACACCAGAAGCGAAGGCGGAAACUCAGGCCACUAUUGACGCUUAGGCUUGAAAGUGUGGGGAGCAAAUGGGAUUAGAUACCCCAGUAGUCCACACCGUAAACGAUGGGUAUUAGAUGCCGGGACCUGAGUCUCGGCGUUGUACCUUACGUGUUAAAUACCCCGCCCUGGG
RNAcentral lists this ribosomal RNA (718 nucleotides) under uncultured Mycoplasma sp. RNAcentral's name for it is "bacterial SSU rRNA". It matches the Rfam family "Bacterial small subunit ribosomal RNA", at positions 141 to 878 of the family's 1533-position model. The record is from RNAcentral. Lineage: Bacteria; Bacillati; Mycoplasmatota; Mollicutes; Mycoplasmatales; Mycoplasmataceae.